Molecule: long non-coding RNA, 500 nt
Filed under: Capra hircus (goat)
Lineage: Eukaryota; Metazoa; Chordata; Mammalia; Artiodactyla; Bovidae
Description: lncRNA (ENSCHIG00010002103.1)
Source: RNAcentral
AUGUUUAAAACUGGAGGAUGGAGAGGAACAGCAAACACAAAAGUUCUGAAGUGUGAUUUUGUCUUCAAGGAACAACGGGGAGAGGAGGGAGUAACAGCAGCAGCACCUGCUCAAACAAAGCAAGUGGUUUUCCAUCUGGCUUCCUUCACCAAAGAAACAGAAACAUCCAGAAUAGUUAGGCCCUCUGUCGCCACAUGAGGACAGAAGAGGGUAAGUAAUAAGAAUUCCCCCGCAGAGCAUUCAUGAAGCAGGAAUGUAACUGACCUGCUGAGCUGUUGAAACAGCACAGGAGGGCAGCACAAGGCCAGAACUCUCGGCCCCAAUCUGGCAAAUAGUCCAGACCGUAAGCAUACUUACAGCCUACGUUUCUAAAUGCAUACAGCAGAGUUUUAAACCCCACCAAAUUUAACCGAAAUGUAAAUCUGCAUAGACUCUACCUAUUGAACAUUUUCAGAUCAUUUUCAUAAAUUCAGUUCAGUUCAGUUCAGUCGCUCAGUCGU